Molecule: long non-coding RNA, 469 nt
Filed under: Lynx pardinus (Iberian lynx)
Lineage: Eukaryota; Metazoa; Chordata; Mammalia; Carnivora; Felidae
Source: RNAcentral
AGGUCUGAUCAUUACCUGGCCAGUCGCUGCUCUAAGAAAUGGUACCGUUCCUCUCUGAGGCUUCCUCCAAAGAGCUCUCCAACUCCAGGAACCAGAAGAUCAACAGCAGCAACCUAAAAAGGAAAAAACUAUAAACAAUCUCACACGUUCAGAGGAUUCCAACAAUUGUCAGCUUCUCAAGCAAGUGGAACUUUUAACAUUUUGGCGACUGGCUAUUUAACUGCUUACCAGAAUAUUAUUUAUGUUAUCUGUUGACGUGGUUUCAAAAUCAUAUUUUUAAUAUAAUCUUUAGAAUAAAUGAUACAGAAAUUGUGGACAGUUACCUCUCCUUUCUUGCACCAUGUAUGCAAUGUAUUUAAAUGUGUUUUCUUCACAAAUGUGGUAUGUUAAUUAUAAAAAAUGUGACAAAAAAUGUGGCAAGUAUUAAAAAUUAUGAGAUAUUAAAAAUCACCUAUCACCAUGCAGAAUA